Molecule: long non-coding RNA, 469 nt
Filed under: Sinocyclocheilus anshuiensis
Lineage: Eukaryota; Metazoa; Chordata; Actinopteri; Cypriniformes; Cyprinidae
Description: lncRNA (ENSSANG00000020418.1)
Source: RNAcentral
GUUUCUUUUUUAUGAACUGUAUUCUGUAGAGUAACAAGCAAUUUAAAUAAAACAGCUCUUAAAGAUGCUCACAUGCAAAGUAGGAGCCAGGUCAACCGCCAUUAAAUCGUACAAGAAGAAGUAGCAGCCAGGUCUUGCCGCGUGUUGCCAGAUUGUGUGGGAUUCUGUUCUAGCCGUACUGCGCUUGCGCGUGGGAAGCCUGGGGUAGGCCCUGCUGUUAUUCUAACUCUAGUUCAAUCCUACACUGCCGUCUCAACCAAAACAAGGCGCAAGAAAAUCCCCCUCCUGGACGGCAAAUAACCGAGGGUUUCCAUCACCAUUGGAUUUGUUUGGAAGUAAAACUCUCAAUGACAAUCCACAGGAGCCCUUCUGCAACCUUCCCAACCUAAAGAAGGCUACAGUGCUGAUUGGGGAUUCAGAACUGAGGAAAAACUUCCCUGGAGAUCCCACAUACACACACUCCCCCGAC